RNAcentral lists this ribosomal RNA (467 nucleotides) under uncultured bacterium. RNAcentral describes it as "partial 16S ribosomal RNA". It matches the Rfam family "Bacterial small subunit ribosomal RNA", at positions 28 to 507 of the family's 1533-position model. The record is from RNAcentral.
GACGAACGCUGGCGGCGUGCUUAACACAUGCAAGUCGAACGGAAAGGCCUCUUUCGGGGGGUACUCGAGUGGCGAACGGGUGAGUAACACGUGAGUAACCUGCCCUUGACUUUGGGAUAACUUCAGGAAACUGGGGCUAAUACCGGAUAGGAGCUCCUGCUGCAUGGUGGGGGUUGGACAGUUUCGGCGGUUGGGGAUUGACGCGCGGCUUAUCAGCUUGUUGGUGGGGUAGUGGCUUACCAAGGCUUUGACGGGUAGCCGGCCUGAGAGGGUGACCGGCCACAUUGGGACUGAGAUACGGCCCAGACUCCUACGGGAGGCAGCAGUGGGGAAUAUUGCACAAUGGGUGGAAGCCUGAUGCAGCAACGCCGUGUGCGGGAUGACGGCCUUCGGGUUGUAAACCGCUUUCGCUCAUGACGAAGCUUUGUGUGACGGUAGUGGGUAAAGAAGCACCGGCUAACUACGUG